This 480-nucleotide ribosomal RNA is filed under the name uncultured Sphingobacteriales bacterium. RNAcentral describes it as "bacterial SSU rRNA". It matches the Rfam family "Bacterial small subunit ribosomal RNA", at positions 901 to 1382 of the family's 1533-position model. The record is from RNAcentral. Lineage: Bacteria; Pseudomonadati; Bacteroidota; Sphingobacteriia; Sphingobacteriales.
UUAAAGGAAUUGACGGGGCCGCACAAGCGGAGGAACAUGUGGUUUAAUUCGAUGAUACGCGAGGAACCUUACCUGGGCUUAAAUGUAGAGUGCAUUUUUUAGAGAUAGAAAUUCCCUUCGGGGCUUUUCUGCAAGGUGCUGCAUGGUUGUCGUCAGCUCGUGCCGUGAGGUGUCGGGUUAAGUCCCAUAACGAGCGCAACCCUUAUCGUUAGUUGCCAGCUGGUAAAGCAGGGGACUCUAGCGAAACUGCCACCGUAAGGUGAGAGGAAGGUGGGGAUGACGUCAAGUCCUCAUGGCCCUUAUGGGUAGGGCUUCACACGUCAUACAAUGGUCGGUACAGAGGGUUGCCAAGCCGCGAGGCGGAGCCAAUCCCACAAAGCCGAUCGUAGUCCGGAUUGUUCUCUGCAACUCGAGAGCAUGAAGUCGGAAUCGCUAGUAAUCGCAGGUCAGCAUACUGUGGUGAAUACGUUCCCGGGUCUU